GAAAUGCGAUAAGUAAUGUGAAUUGCAGAAUUCAGUGAAUCAUCGAAUCUUUGAACGCAUCUUGCGCUCCUUGGUAUUCUGAGGAGCAUGCCUGUUUGAGUGUCAUCAAGUUCUCAACCAUAUUGAUUUGCUUCAAUUUGGAUUGGAUAAUGGGGUUUGCAGGCCCUUCAAAGGGUCUGCUUUCCUGAAAUAAAUUAGUGGUGUCUGAGCAGAGACUUACUACUGCAGGUGUGAUAAAUUAUCUAUGCCUUUUGUAGAGAAACUGCGCAAACUGCUUCGAAUCUCAUUUGUUGACCAAUUUGACCUCAAAUCAGGUAGGACUACCCGCUGAACUUAA
RNAcentral lists this unclassified non-coding RNA (337 nucleotides) under uncultured Inocybe. Its description in RNAcentral is "sequence contains ITS1". The stretch from base 1 to 105 matches the Rfam family "5.8S ribosomal RNA", at positions 50 to 154 of the family's 154-position model. The record is from RNAcentral. Lineage: Eukaryota; Fungi; Basidiomycota; Agaricomycetes; Agaricales; Cortinariaceae.